GAUGAACGCUGGCGGCGUGCCUAAUACAUGCAAGUCGAGCGAACAGAUGAGGAGCUUGCUCCUCUGACGUUAGCGGCGGACGGGUGAGUAACACGUGGAUAACCUACCUAUAAGACUGGGAUAACUUCGGGAAACCGGAGCUAAUACCGGAUAAUAUAUUGAACCGCAUGGUUCAAUAGUGAAAGACGGUUUUGCUGUCGCUUAUAGAUGGAUCCGCGCCGCAUUGGCUAGUUGGUAAGGUAACGGCUUACCAAGGCAACGAUGCGUAGCCGACCUGAGAGGGUGAUCGGCCACACUGGAACUGAGACACGGUCCAGACUCCUACGGGAGGCAGCAGUAGGGAAUCUUCCGCAACGGGCGAAAGCCUGACGGAGCAACGCCGCGUGAGUGAUGAAGGUCUUCGGAUCGUAAAACUCUGUUAUUAGGGAAGAACAAAUGUGUAAGUAACUAUGCACGUCUUGACGGUACCUAAUCAGAAAGCCACGGCUAACUACGUG
Molecule: ribosomal RNA, 497 nt
Filed under: uncultured bacterium
Lineage: Bacteria
Description: partial 16S ribosomal RNA
Rfam family: Bacterial small subunit ribosomal RNA
Source: RNAcentral